GUGAAGAGAUAUGAGAGGAGUUGAAUAAGUGGGAGACCCGCCUGGGCCACCGGUGAAAUACCACUACUCUGAUCGUUUUUUCACUUACCCAGUGAGGCGGAGGGGUGAGCCCCAAGGGGCUCUCGCUUCUGGCUCCAAGCACCCGGCGCGGGCCAGGAGUGACCUGCUCCAGGG
Molecule: non-coding RNA, 174 nt
Filed under: Ophiophagus hannah (king cobra)
Lineage: Eukaryota; Metazoa; Chordata; Lepidosauria; Squamata; Elapidae
Description: Eukaryotic large subunit ribosomal RNA
Rfam family: Eukaryotic large subunit ribosomal RNA
Source: Rfam by way of RNAcentral